ACUAGCCACGAGAUGAGACUUCCUUAUAGGGCCGUAGUAGACUACUACGUUGAUAGGUUGCAGGUGUAAAGGUAGAAAUACCAUAGCUGAGCAAUACUAAUCACCCGAAGCUUUCUCAAG
This 120-nucleotide ribosomal RNA is filed under the name Sphingobacterium sp. B16(2022). Its description in RNAcentral is "partial 23S ribosomal RNA". It matches the Rfam family "Bacterial large subunit ribosomal RNA", at positions 2792 to 2925 of the family's 2925-position model. The record is from RNAcentral. Lineage: Bacteria; Pseudomonadati; Bacteroidota; Sphingobacteriia; Sphingobacteriales; Sphingobacteriaceae.